UAACCAGUCAUUUAAGACUUGUUGUCUUUUAAAUGAUUGGUUAAAAUGACUACUUUACUUUACAUGUAUUAAUGCUAGCAUGCUAAUGUUCUGUUGACAUAAGGGAACUUUAAAAAUAACAUCCUGCACCAUGAUAUAAACUCUAGUGCCCUAUAGUAGGUAUAAAAUACAGUUGAACAUUAGUGGUACAACACUAACAUCAAUGCUGAUGUUAUAUUUUGUAAAUUUAUUGCAUCAUAUUCCAAAAAGGUGAUAUAUUAAUUUUAUUUUUAACUAAUCCUAAUAAACUCUUCACAGGAUACUUACUGUUCCAUGUGACAUUUUUUGGUUCAAUGUUUUGGAGAUAAAAGAAAUUACACUUUAAAUGUUGUGUUAGCAUGCUAGCAUUAGCAUUACCACACUAGCACACUAGAUUAGCUUAGCACAAUUUUACACUUGGUAACAUCUGUACAGUGUAUUUAAAAUGUGAAACAUUUAUAGUACUGUAGUAAAAUGAUAAUUGAAUAUUAACAUUAGCAUGCUAACAUUGCUGUUAAUGUGCUAACAUGGGUUAAGCCAGUUCCACUUACCCUUCUUAAUAAUGGAUCCAGAACCUAAAAACACAUUUACUGUAAAAUAAAACACAUUUCUAGUCAACUACAUGGUAAAAAAGACAACUAAAUUUUAGCAUUAGCCUGCUAGCACUAGCAUUGAUGAUAUUAUUUCAUUAAACAUGAAUGCUUUACACUUAAUUGUAAAUUCAGGGCUCAGUUUCUGUAGUAUCUACAUUUAGUGUGCCAAGUAAUAAUAAAACAGUUGUUUGGCAUUAUCAUGCUAAUAUUAGCAUUUUAAUGCUAAUUUAGCUCCAUGUUUGCUUAGACGGCUCUUCGUUAAUCUGCACUUUAACUCAUGAAUUAAACUUUCUCUCUAUUAGCAAGUAUAUUGUUCAACAUAACAAAUAUUUAGUGAAUUAUAUAGUAGAUAAUAAUAAAAACAGCUUGUUUUUGCUAACAUUAGCAUUGACAUGCUAACAUUAUGUCCUGUUUGAUUGACUGAUUUGCUUUAUGAUCUAUUAGGACCAAUAAAAUGAACACUGGUUUUAACAGUAGAUUGUUUUAUGGCCUGCAUAGCUGCUGAAAAGCUACAGUAAUAAUAAUAAUUUUAACGCGGUGUACAAGAUGGACGACUCGCCUUGUGGUGCACUAUAUAGUGAAUGAGUGGCUAAUUCACCCAAAGCGUUUGCUUGACGCAGUGAGAGUUUCUGGUUUUCUGCAUUUCUGUUACAGUUGAGCUGAAAAUCGGUUUUCUGUGAGUUUGAGGAAUUGAAUGGAAAAAGUUUGAAGUGAUGAAACGUUGACCCCGAGGUCACCUGACGCUGCUUCACCUCAACAUUUAUACUUAUCUGAACAUCUGCGGAGAAAAAGACAAUAACCUGGAAGCGUUCGACUCUAACUUUGUACUUUGAGGUAUUUAUGAAGGCACAUGUAUCGUAUAUCAGCUACGUUCUUAAAAAUGACUAAAAUAGAUUUAGUCUAUUUUUAAAAUCUGUUUUUCUGCUGCCAAAGUUUCCUUCUACUUGUUUUGUUAAUUUGGGUUGUUUAAGGUUUGAAAGUUGGCUCUGGAGCCCUGAUUGGGGGGAAAAUGAGAAAAUUAAUGAAGAUACGGAUAAAUUUAAAUCUAAAGACCAACCAUCUCCAGUCUUUGACCAUUAUUUUAAUUUUAUAUCAAUGUUCUUCUUUUUGAUAUUAAUGGAUAUCAAUGGACUUGCGUGUCAGUGUCCCUCACCCACAUGCCACACCGCUCCUCUCUUCCUCUGCAAGCAUGCCGACUCCUUUACCUGUCCUAGCUGUAGUUACCGUAGCAACAGUGUGUAGACUGUCCUCUGGAGUAAGCAGCUUUUUAAGCCUUACCUGUGCUUGUGAUGUCAGUAAAAUGUCUUACUUUGACUGGUCCACUUGACGUCGUUAAAAACGCCCUCAAGGGAGUGAAAGGUAUACGGAGAGCAAACGGGGCCGUAAGCUGUUUGACGAUGAGGAACAUCCAGAACUGAUUCCUGGUGGUUAGAAAAUGAUCAGAACUGUGCAAAAGUCUUCAGUCAGCUCUGUAGAUGUUAUUGUAGCCGUUUAAAGUCGGCUUGGUCAGUCGGAUUUCAGGUUUUCUUUGGCCUUUGGUUGCUUUUUCAUGAAAACGUUUUCAUUUUUGUCUAAGUUACGUCCUCUGAUGUACAAAUGUUUAGGUUCUUUUUCACUAAAAGCCA
Molecule: long non-coding RNA, 2236 nt
Organism: Poecilia latipinna (sailfin molly)
Lineage: Eukaryota; Metazoa; Chordata; Actinopteri; Cyprinodontiformes; Poeciliidae
Exons: 2
Source: RefSeq, a predicted model, not a curated record